GAUGAACGCUGGCGGCGUGCCUAAUACAUGCAAGUCGAGCGAACGGACGAGAAGCUUGCUUCUCUGAUGUUAGCGGCGGACGGGUGAGUAACACGUGGAUAACCUACCUAUAAGACUGGGAUAACUUCGGGAAACCGGAGCUAAUACCGGAUAAUAUUUUGAACCGCAUGGUUCAAAAGUGAAAGACGGUCUUGCUGUCACUUAUAGAUGGAUCCGCGCUGCAUUAGCUAGUUGGUAAGGUAACGGCUUACCAAGGCAACGAUGCAUAGCCGACCUGAGAGGGUGAUCGGCCACACUGGAACUGAGACACGGUCCAGACUCCUACGGGAGGCAGCAGUAGGGAAUGUUCCGCAAUGGGCGAAAACAUGACGGAGCAACGCCGCGUGAGUGAUGAAGGUCUUCGGAUCGUAAAACUCUGUUAUUAGGGAAGAACAUAUGUGUAAGUAACUGUGCACAUCUUGACGGUACCUAAUCAGAAAGCCACGGCUAACUACGUG
This 497-nucleotide ribosomal RNA is filed under the name uncultured bacterium. RNAcentral's name for it is "partial 16S ribosomal RNA". It matches the Rfam family "Bacterial small subunit ribosomal RNA", at positions 28 to 507 of the family's 1533-position model. The record is from RNAcentral.